This 502-nucleotide unclassified non-coding RNA is filed under the name uncultured Diversispora. Its description in RNAcentral is "SSU rRNA". It matches the Rfam family "Eukaryotic small subunit ribosomal RNA", at positions 591 to 1092 of the family's 1831-position model. The record is from RNAcentral. Lineage: Eukaryota; Fungi; Glomeromycota; Glomeromycetes; Diversisporales; Diversisporaceae.
CCAAUAGCGUAUAUUAAAGUUGUUGCAGUUAAAAAGCUCGUAGUUGAACUUCGGGGUUCACCCAUUGGUCAGGCUUAAUUGUCUGUACUGGUGAGAUGAGUCUCUACCUUCUGAGGAACUUUCAUGCCAUUUAUUUGGUGUGAUUGGAAAUCAGGACUGUUACUUUGAAAAAAUUAGAGUGUUUAAAGCAGGCUAACGUCUGAAUACAUUAGCAUGGAAUAAUGAAAUAGGACGGAUUGAUUCUAUUUCGUUGGUUUCUAGGAUCACCGUAAUGAUUAAUAGGGAGAGUUGGGGGCAUUAGUAUUCAAUUGUCAGAGGUGAAAUUCUUGGAUGUAUUGAAGACUAACUACUGCGAAAGCAUUUGCCAAGGAUGUUUUCAUUAAUCAAGAACGAAAGUUAGGUGAUCGAAGACGAUCAGAUACCGUCGUAGUCUUAACCAUAAACUAUGCCGACUAGGGAUCGGACGCAGUUAAUUUUAUAAUGACGUGUUCGGCACCUUACG